Molecule: long non-coding RNA, 1233 nt
Filed under: Betta splendens (Siamese fighting fish)
Lineage: Eukaryota; Metazoa; Chordata; Actinopteri; Anabantiformes; Osphronemidae
Description: lncRNA (ENSBSLG00000014353.1)
Source: RNAcentral
AUGAGGUUGUGGAGAACCACCCUUGAAGCCAAUGGGAAGCCACUUGCCCAAGUAUCCAUCAAAUGUGGCAUAUACCAAGAAGAUGCACUGUCCCCACUGCUGUUCUGCAUAGGUCUGAACCCUCUCAGCCAAAUAAUAAAAAAGACUGGCUAUGGAUACCGACUCCGGAACGGGGCCACCAUAUGUCACCUCCUCUACAUGGAUGACAUCAAGCUGUACGCCAAGAAUGAGCGAGACAUCGACUCACUGAUCCACACCACCAGGAUCUACAGCUCGGACAUUGGGAUGUCAUUCGGAUUUGAGAAAUGUGGGAGGAUGGUGACAAAGAGAGGCAAGGUAAUCCACACAGAAGGGGUCUCACUCCCAAAAGGAACAAUAGUAGACAUUGAGGACAGUUACAAGUACCCUGGAAUACCACAGGCGAAUGGCAACCUUGAACAGGCAACAAGGAAUGCGGCAACAGCCAAAUACCUCCAACGAGUAAGGCAAGUCCUAAGAAGCCAGCUCAAUGGCAAGAACAAAUUCCGGACAAUAAACAGCUACACCCUGACAGUUUUUAGAUACCCUGCGGGAAUAAUAAGGUGGCCAAAGGAAAAGAUACAGACCACAGAUGUUCAGACACGAAAGGUGCUCACCAUGCAUGGAGGGUUCCACCCCAAAUCCAGCACCCUGAGACUGUACACUAGCCGCAAGGAAGGAGGCCGAGGACUAGUGAGCAUGAGAGCCACUAUCCAGGAUGAAACAUCCAAAAUCCAUAAGUACAUCAAGGAUAAAGCUCCGACAGAUGACGUGCCUAGUGAAUGUCUCAGGCAGUGGAGAACAGAGGAUGAGAUGCUGGAGGAGGGACCAUCAUGGGAGGACAAGCCCUUGCACGGGAUGUACCACCGGAACAUAACUGAAGUGGCUGAUCUCAACAAAUCCUACCAAUGGCUUGUAAGGGCUAGGCGGAAGGACAGCACAGAGGCACUCAUCCUGGCUGCACAGGAGCAGGCCCUGAGCACCAGAGCCAUAGAAGCCCAGAUCUACCACACCAGACAAGACCCAAGGUGUACACUGUGCAAAGGGGCCCCUGAGACAAUCCAGCACAUAACUACAGGGUGUAAGGUGCUGGCAGGGAAAGCAUACAUGGAACGCCAUAACCAAGUGGCUGGCAUAGUAUACAGGAACAUCAUGCGCAGAGUAUGGACUGGAAACCCUAAGGUCAAAGUGGGAAACACCUCCCAAGGUGGUUGA